UAGUCCACGCCGUAAACGAUGUCUACUAGCUGUUUGUGUCCUUGAGACGUGAGUGGCGCAGCUAACGCACUAAGUAGACCGCCUGGGGAGUACGGUCGCAAGAUUAAAACUCAAAUGAAUUGACGGGGGCCCGCACAAGCGGUGGAGCAUGUGGUUUAAUUCGAUGCAACGCGAAGAACCUUACCAUCCCUUGGCAUCCACAGAAUUAUUCAGAGAUGAAUUUGUGCCUUCGGGAACUGUGAGACAGGUGCUGCAUGGCUGUCGUCAGCUCGUGUUGUGAAAUGUUGGGUUAAGUCCCGCAACGAGCGCAACCCUUAUCCUUAGUUGCCAUCAGUUAGGCUGGGAACUCUAAGGAGACUGCCGGUGACAAACCGGAGGAAGGUGGGGACGACGUCAAGUCAUCAUGGCCCUUACGGGAUGGGCUACACACGUGCUACAAUGGACGGUACAGAGGGCUGCAAGCCAGCGAUGGUUAGCGAAUCUCUUAAAGCCGUUCGUAGUCC
Molecule: ribosomal RNA, 503 nt
Filed under: uncultured bacterium
Lineage: Bacteria
Description: bacterial SSU rRNA
Rfam family: Bacterial small subunit ribosomal RNA
Source: RNAcentral